ACUAGCAUUCGCCACUUUUGGCUCAUUGCUAGAAGCUUCAUCUGAACCUUUUGCAUCAUAGUUACCAUUACGGCCUGCUGUUGCAAGGUUAAAU
RNAcentral lists this ribosomal RNA (94 nucleotides) under Haemophilus parainfluenzae ATCC 33392. Its description in RNAcentral is "partial 16S ribosomal RNA". Lineage: Bacteria; Pseudomonadati; Pseudomonadota; Gammaproteobacteria; Pasteurellales; Pasteurellaceae. The record is from RNAcentral.